Molecule: long non-coding RNA, 6389 nt
Filed under: Lactuca sativa (garden lettuce)
Lineage: Eukaryota; Viridiplantae; Streptophyta; Magnoliopsida; Asterales; Asteraceae
Description: long non-coding RNA (LSAT_LNC005385)
Source: RNAcentral
UAAUUCUAGGUUGGAGAUCGUGUCCUUUUGAAGGUCUCGCCCUGGAUAGUGUCACACCCCGAAAAUCAAAGGCGGAAACAUUUCCGGGGUUGACUCCACGUUGAGUAUCAAAUCCAUUGCACAUAGUAAUCAAAGUAAACAACCAUUACAUUACAUAUAUUUGAAAGUUUACAUUUGUUUCAAAAGUAAAGUAUUCCAAGUGUUAUACAUAGGUAUAUAUGAACAAAAGAUAAGACGAGAUCUUCUACGCACUCCGUCUUCACCAAAAGAGAUCACCAGGUACCUGUUUAACAUGGACCUGAGAAUACAAGCAGUUUGAACAUCAACAUAAAGCUGGUGAGUUCAUAAGAUGUUUGUAUUCUGAAAAUGUACCAAUUUCCUUUAGUUUUCCGAAAAGGUUUGUUAUCCAUGAAAUUCCCAUAUUUUCUUAUGUAAAACAGUUUAGUUAUCAUUCAUUACCAGUUCAUUUAUGCGAUAUAUGAUUCCCCAGGAAAAUCCCGUAUUUUCCUAAAUACAAGACCGAUUGAAUAUCACAGAGUAUAGUUUAAUACACAAAACUAUAUAUUGAGUAUCAUGGGAUUACUAUCCCGAAUUAGAUAUAAAAUACUUUGAUAUACAUGAACUGUAGAUGGAAAGUAGUUUGAAAACCAUAGGACUAUCAUCCCGUACUAGAUACAAGAUAGUUUGAUAUACAUGAAAAUAUAGAUUGAAUAUCAUGGGACUACCAUCCCGGACUAGUUAUAGAUUCAAAAACAUGGGAUUAUCAUCCCAUACUAGAUAUAGUUUCAAAACCAUGGGAUUACCAUCCCGUACAAGAUAUAGAUUGAAAUCAUGGGACUAUCAUCCCGUACUAGAUAUAAGAUAUAUACAUACUGAAAACCAUAGGAAUAACAUCCCGCACUAGAUACAAGUUUGAUAGACUAAAAACCAUGGGACUGCCAUCCCGUACUAGAUAUGGAAACUAUAGAUAGAAAGUAGAUAUGAAAUUGAAUCAAAGUCAAAACCAAACCCAAAGCGAUACCGUGAAUAAACUUAUAUUAAUACAUAUUGUGAGUCAGGUAACCAUGCUGAUACGACAACGAGACCUCCUUAACGUUUGUCAGACGUCGGACGAUAUCCAGAAUUUGUCACCCCAGGCGUGCCCGCCUAACUGUAGCUAGCAGUUAAGGUGUGCGAUUGUCAGUCCUGAAUAGAUCUAUUCACAAAUUCAUCGCUCUCCCUCCAGGAGACUCUGGUUACACUUCCGGGGAGGAUUUACUGAUCAUCCAAAAGGGUAGUAACGAACUCACAAGCUAGUAAUAAACUAUUCACAGGGUUCUCAUACGAUAUCAAACAUACAAAAGAUUUUGAAACAUAAUACAGUGAAUACAGAUACAUACAUUGAAACUAUCUUGCAAUACAUUCAAAUGAUACGAAGAUAAACUGAAUCAGACAUAGUUUAUCUAAUAACAUUAUAUACAUAUCAGUACGUGAUUAAACAAGAACUAGAGAACCCCAAAUUAUUCCCAUAACAAUUUGAUUUAUUUGGUUAUUUCCUUAACUGAAAUUCAUAUAGUUGUAGUUGAUAAAUCAUCCCUUAUGCUCAACAUAAUACAUAAGGGGUAAAAGUAUUUAUAAGUUUGCCAGAUAUUAUUUGAAAUACAUCAAGGUUAUGUUUUGAAAACAUUUUUAUAGUUUGCUUGUAUUCCCCCCCUGAAAACAUUGAAAAACCAUUUAAAAAGGGUAGGGGUAUGAACUCACCGGACGAGAAACACGACGAUUUUGGAUGCUAAACGUUGGUUCGGGGCUUGCAAAUGUACGAGGUUCCUAUGUAUAAUGAAAAGAUACACAUUUGUAUCUAAUUAGGACUUAGAUUAUUUAACUAUUAGGGACAAACACUUUUAGUUGCGGAAACACCCCAUUGCAAAUGUUUGGAGGGACCCGGGUAGCAUUUAAGGACUUGUAUGACCGGGAAAUGGAGUUUACUCUUCAAGAGUAAACUCAUACAAGAGUUUUCGGCCCAUAACACCCAUUCCCAUGAGUUUACGGUCGUAAACUGAUGGUGGGGUGGUUUAUGGUGCAAAAUGGCUUGAAACAAUUAAGAGGGAAUUUCUAGGGUUUGAUUUAAGGCUUGGAAAUGUAUUUUGAACAAAGUAAGGACCAUUUGAGGAGUUCACGGCUGUAAACUCUAUGUUUACGGCCGUAAACUCUUAUAUACAUACUCAAAGUGUUUCUUGGUAGCCUUAAAUUAUUCACAUGUGAUUCUAAUGAUUUUUCCAAGCCUUGAAUGGAUUUUUGAGGGACUUUGGACAAGGUUUUUGGAGUUUAUGGCCCAUGAACCCCCCUCAUGGCCAUGAACUCCCUUGAUGUGUGAUUUAUUAUGAUUUAAGGUCCAAUACUUAUUUGUAGACACUUCUAGAAUUUAUACCAAGGCUUUAGGUGUGCUAAAGUGGCAUUUUAACACUUUUAGAGGAGUUUACUCCCCAUGUUUGAAGGCUUUAAGGCCCAAGCAUAUGCCUUGGCUGUAAACUCUCAUUUUUUUCCUCAAAAUUUAUGUUUAGGAUGCUCUAAGGCCAAAACCAAUAUUCUAGAAGUCAUAUCUAAGUCUUGUUGGUGUCUUGGAAGGCUUUAAGGGCAUAAAAACCCCAUCUAUAUGAGUUUAUGGCUCAAGCAUGCUCUUGGGCAGUAAACUCAUGUUUACUCUUCAAAAUCCAUGUUUAAGGCAUUCUAAGUCCAGUCCAUAAAUCCAUUAAGCCAUAUCUAAGCUCCAAAGGUCGAUUGGAAGGGUUUUUGGGCUCCAAAACCCAUUUUAUGUGAGUUCACAUCCUAGGACUAUUAUAGGGCCGUAAACUCAUAAAUAUGGUCCUAUUCCAUGAUUUGAACUCGAAUUUGAAGGCCUAAGAUGUUAUACUAGGAGUUACGGUAGUUACCUUGGUGAUUUGGAGCUUAAAUUUGAUGAUUUUGGACCCUUAAACUUGGUUUAGGAGAGAGGUUAGAGAAAGAGUAGAGAGAUGAAGCAAAAGCUUCAAAUGAAAGCUUAAAAAUGUUUAAAUAGGUCUCAAAUCUUGGACACGGUGGAAUUCUACCCGAUACCGACAUUAAACGGGUUUUUCGUCACACCCGAUUAAAUUUCCAUAACCUGGUGGGGACGUUUCUAAAAUUUCUGAAAUAAAUAUUUUUGGGCUAAUUUCGUGAGUUGCUAAAGGGUUUGGACACUCAUUAGCUUAUAAUAAACAUAUAAGUUUAAAUAAUUUAACCCAAAACGAAAAUGGAACGAAUUGAUAAACAUCAAUUUUUCGGGUAGAACGGUUUUUGGCGUUGGACAACUUCGGGUUGUUACAUCAUCCCCCCGUUAGAGGGAAUUUCAUCCCGAAAUUCAGAUAUUAAGAUACAGGUCAUGAAUUGGAAGGAGAUACGGAUGGAUUUGUUGCCUCGGAUCUUCACGCUCCCAAGUGGAAUCGGGUCUCCGCUUGGUGUUCCAGCGAACCCACACUAUCGGGACGCGUCCUUGUUUCGUACAUCGACUCUCUCAAUCCAUAAUCUUAAUUGGUUCUCCCAUGGAGGUUCCGACCCUUGAUGACUUCGGUCUUCUCAGAGGAAUCACUAGGGUUUCGUUGGGUAGAUGCUUCUAAGGAUUCGAGACGUGAAGUACCGGAUGGAUGUUACUAUGUUCUGAGGGUAGCCGAAGUUGGAAGGUUACGAAAUCGAUUCUAUGAGGAUCACGAAGGGUCUAAUAGUCGAUGGGACCCAUGAAUCGAUAGGUUUCUAUGGGUAUUUCUUGUGCCGACUAAUUCCCUAUCGCCUUAGCUUUUGGAAAGGUUCACGAGUACGACUGCUUUGCUUAGCUACAUGAUCGAGGAAAAUGAUUUGACCGAAGGAUACCACUACUAACUCGUAGUGAUCAUAUCAAUCCUUGGUCACCGUCUUCGACACGUCAUUCCUACUGAGGUUCGGUUACGAGGUAGUUCCUGAGAUUAGGCAGGUGCGAGACUAGGCUAGACGUUCGGAAAGGAAUUCUCAGGAAUCCUUCGGGAAAGACAUUUAGGGAAAAGAGUUGCAGUCUUCCCGUUUCCCAAUGAUCAAAGGAACGAGGGAUGCAUGGCAAUUCCUAUCAAGAAAACUUUUUGAGCUUCGAUGCACGAAAUGAUGCGAGGAUUGGAUUUAGGUUGGGUGCCGAAGAUCGCGAGAGCCGGGUCGGGGGAAAGAUUUAGACGAGCGACGCUUUCGAAACCAAUAAUAACAACAUGAAUGAGACUCGGUCAUUUCAUGUAAAACAUAGCAUCAAAGCAUUUCAUGAAAAGUUUGCCAUUAAAUCGAAUGGAAUAGAAUAAUCACCCAGAUUGAGAAUACAACAUAUAGGUACGCAAUUAGCUUUCUCUAUCCUACCGGUUAGCCAUCUUGACAUUACACAUUUUCGAUUCCAAACGAAGGAUUGAGUUUAGAAAGAUGUUUGAAUGGAUAGAUAACAAGUUUUCCUUUUAGUACUAGAAUCGAAAAGAGUUGCAGGCAUAAGAGUUGUCAAAGAGAAGUAUACCUACGGCGACAGUGGGAUCAGCGGUUGUUUCCUCUCGUCCUAUUGCCAGGACUCUCCUGGUAUUGCCAGUUGUUGCUGCUUUGGGGCAGUUUCUUUUGAAGUGCCCUACUUCGCCACAACUGUAGCAGGCUGGACUGAUUCCCGCUCCGGAUUAUUGGUUUGUCGAUUUGGCUGGUUUUCUGCAGGUUCGAGCAAGGUGGCCAUUCUUGCCACAGUUGUCACAAAUUCGUUCACGACAUGGACCAGGAAUACGGUGAUGGUAGUUGCACUUACCGCACCAAGGAAGGGUACUAGUGUUUCCACUGGUAGGAGUUUGGACCGUGGAUCCGACAACUGAAACAACAACAGGGGUAGCCUCCUCAUCAGAGUUGUCUUCGUGAUCGAUCGGGGUUUAUGCAAGACAUUUAGUGCUGUCAUAGGUGUCUGGCUUCACAGCCAAUACAUUCCCUUUGGUUGGCUGGGUCAACCCCCAGAUGAACCUCUCAAUCUUUUUACUCUCCGGGGUAACCAUUCCUGGACAGAGUAAUGCCAGGUCAUUGAAUCUUGAAGUAUAAGAGGCUAUGUCAGAACCCUUCAUCUUAAGGUUCCAGAGUUCGUGUUCUAGUUUCUGUAUUUCGCCCCGAGGGCAAUACUCAGCGAGAAGAAGCUCCUUCAUAGCUUCCCAACCCAUAGCAUUUGCUACAGGUAGAGUUAAGGAUUUGACUCAGCCCUUCCACCAAGUCAGUGCUUUGUCAAGGAAGGUGCAGGCGGUAAACUUUACUUUGUCAGAUUUCGAACAGGCACAUAUUUCAAAGAUUGAUUCGAUUUUCUCGAACCAUCGAGUUAGGGAAAUGACACCCCCAGUGCCAUCGAAGAAUGUGGGUUUCGCGUUCAUGAAGUAUUUAUAGGAACCCCCUUUUCGGUGUCCCUGGCUAUCUUCUGGGUUUUGGGGCUGGGGACCACCUCCUGAACUACUGGGGUUUAUUUGCGACAUGGCUGCUACCAUUGCGGCAAUCAGAACUGUCUGAAGCGAUGCAAGAUCAAAUUAAGGAGGAGGUGGUGGCGGAGGAGGAUUGUUGUUGUUCUUUGAGCUGGGUCUCUUUCUUGGAGGCAUCUUGAUCUAAAAAGAUCAGGAAAGAGAGGAUCAUAAGUCCUCUGAAUUGAAUGAAGAAAUAUGGACCAGGGGAUAUCUCAUCAAGACAGAUAUAACAUUAUAUCAAGCGAUAAAGCAGGAAAAAGUUAUCAAGGCAGAUAAUUUCAUCGCUAGAGGAACGAUCAAGGAACAACGUGUAUACGAGGAUUUUCUACAAAGGAUUAACUCGAGAAAUACUCCCAUAGUAUUUCAUGAUUCACUGCAAUGACGACUCGUUGUUUGGGGUAUUGGGUAAGUUUUAGGUAUGCUGCAUACCACAGUCACUCCCAAGCACAUGUUGGCUGUGUCUCAAAUGAAUAUAGUUGGCCAGGCUAUAUUGACCUUAGACAUGACUACAUAACUGCCCAGGUUUAACCGCUGCGUACAACACCCAUUUACUUAUGUUUUGUUCUACUGGUGGUUACGAAUCUCGACGUUUCGGUAUAUUUGUAUAUUUUCGAAAAUACUUAUAUUUUGAAGGAUACUUUUAGUUCAGAGCACUUAGGCCCUUUAAUGUUUAUAGUUUUAUACCAUGUAAGGUUUGGUAUACUCCUUUCACUAUAAACAAGGGCUCUGAUACCAAUCUGUCACACCCCAAAAAUCAAAGACGGAAACAUUUCCGGGGUUGACUCGACGUUAAGUAUCAAAUCCAAUGCACAUUCUAAUCAAAGUAAACAACCAUUACAUUACAUAUAUUUGAAAGUUUACAUUUGUUUCAAAAGUAAAGUAUUCCAAGUGUUAUACAUAGGUAUAUAUGAACAAAAG